GAAAAACUAUCGCAGCUAGCAAAAGAAGAAAAGAAAUCAUGGUUCUGUUUAAUAUUCCCACCAUUUUAUUUGGAUUGAGUUAUUUGAUUAAUUACAAACUAUAACUAAUAAAUAGUUAGGCGUCCUAAUCAGCUUCAAAUAAUUAUAUUGAAUAAUCUUGCAUCAUGAUUCAUGAAGACUGAAAUAAAAUAUCAACUGAAUUCUAUUUUUGUCUGGCCUAUGCGUAAAAAUCUCACAGCUUGUCCGGCAACAAGGUGUGUUCGCACUGCUUGUUUCCAGUUGUUGACAAGUCUGGAACAAGUUGUCAUCGUCUUGUAACAAGGUUGAUAAGGCCAACAAACUCGCAGCAAGUUGUUCCAACAAAUCUGAUAAUAUCGUCUGCACUUAAUUAACAAGUUGUUAACAAGUUGAUGACAACAAGCUCGUAGCAACACAUUACGCCAUUAGUCUUGUUGGAACAACUUGUAGUAAGUCUGUUGUCGUCAUCAAUCUUGUAGAUGAUAACCUGAACUUGUUUGCAGAUCUAUAAGAACUUGUGUAUUUGUUUUCGAAAGAUUAUAUGUUAUUAUAUUUACACUUGGGGUUGGUACGUACCUAAAGCCUGGUAAGGUUUCUAUAUGGUUGUGACGGUCGUGAAGAUUGAGUCACGAUCUUUCUCAUCCGCCGAAAUUUUAGAACUGAGAACACGCGGAGUGAUUAUAAUUUACUAUAGAGAAUACUUAACAGUUAUUCUACGAACUCGAGUCGAAUAUGAGCGGAUAGCUAUCGGCUAUCGCUCAUAUUCGACGAGAGUGAGUGGAAUAACUGUUUUAUUAUAUACACAAGGUCUGAAUUCACAGACUUUGCUUUUCGGAUAUUUUCAAUAUUUUUCUAUUUUGUUUAUGUUUUUAUCUUCGCUCUUUCGGCCGAUUAUUUUUUCCAAAAUAUAUAUUUUUAACCAUUUUAAAUUUUAAAAAUUUAUUUGCUAACCUGAAAACAAUUUGUGGGAGUUUUUUCAUUGUGUUUUUAAUCCUGUUAAGGUUAUAAAAAGCGACAAGUUGCCGUUUUCUCGUUUGCAAAACAUCGUAAAUUCAGUUUGGCCGCCAGUUUGUUUUUCUCUACUAGCAGGAUAUGAGCUAAUAUCCUGCUAGUAGAGAACCAAUCAGAUUGCAGAAUACCUCAUAUCCAGACCUUGUGUAUAUAUAAUAAUUAUAUUUAUAUGUGGUUUACAGGCAUAAACUAUUAUAAACUGGCCGUUGAGACUGAUCGUGACUCUAUUUUUACGACCAUUACGACCAUAUGGAAACCAGGAUCAAGUGUGGAUGUGUUAAUCAUGCUUGCAGCAAGUCCUAUGAUACGUUUGUGGAACAUGCAUUUCACCUUCUGCGCACGUGGUCAGCCAGGUGAAUUAACCGGCUGUCUUGCUCUCGCCAACACCGCGAAAAAAACGUCUGCGCAUGCGUCAACCAUACUAAAAUUUGCCUUGCGAACGUGGUGUCAAGUAUUCCAAAGGUUGUCAAAAACUCAAAAUGGAAGCGAUGUUUCAAUGUUUUGCCUUUUCUGUGAAAAUCCAAGCGGAAUAAUAAAUGUAACAAACUAAAAACUAGAAAUAAUCACAGUUUAUAUG
This 1606-nucleotide long non-coding RNA is filed under the name Paramuricea clavata. Lineage: Eukaryota; Metazoa; Cnidaria; Anthozoa; Malacalcyonacea; Plexauridae. The record is from RNAcentral.